UCCCUGAUAAUUUCCAGGUGC
RNAcentral lists this non-coding RNA (21 nucleotides) under Caenorhabditis elegans. The record is from RNAcentral. Lineage: Eukaryota; Metazoa; Nematoda; Chromadorea; Rhabditida; Rhabditidae.